RNAcentral lists this ribosomal RNA (476 nucleotides) under uncultured bacterium. RNAcentral's name for it is "bacterial SSU rRNA". It matches the Rfam family "Bacterial small subunit ribosomal RNA", at positions 30 to 507 of the family's 1533-position model. The record is from RNAcentral.
AUUGAACGCUGGCGGAAUGCUUUACACAUGCAAGUCGAACGGUAGAGGGGGCAACCCCUUGAGAAUGGCGAACGGGUGAGUAAUAUAUCGGAACGUGCCCAGUCGUGGGGGAUAACGUAGCGAAAGUUACGCUAAUACCGCAUACGAUCUAAGGAUGAAAGCGGGGGACCGUAAGGCCUCGCGCGAUUGGAGCGGCCGAUAUCAGAUUAGGUAGUUGGUGGGGUAAAGGCUCACCAAGCCAACGAUCUGUAGCUGGUCUGAGAGGACGACCAGCCACACUGGAACUGAGACACGGUCCAGACUCCUACGGGAGGCAGCAGUGAGGAAUAUUGGGGCAAUGGGCGCUAGCCUGACCCAGCCAUGCCGCGUGCAGGAAGACGGUCCUAUGGAUUGUAAACUGCUUUUGUACGGGAAGAAACCCUAUUACGUGUAAUAGAUUGACGGUACCGUACGAAUAAGGAUCGGCUAACUCCGUG